Molecule: transfer RNA, 72 nt
Filed under: Marmota monax (woodchuck)
Lineage: Eukaryota; Metazoa; Chordata; Mammalia; Rodentia; Sciuridae
Description: tRNA.Gly
Source: RNAcentral
GUGGGGAUAUAGCACACUGGUAGAGUGCUUGCCUGCCAUGUUAGAGGCCCUGGGAUCAAUCCCAGCACCACA